Molecule: long non-coding RNA, 347 nt
Filed under: Bos taurus (domestic cattle)
Lineage: Eukaryota; Metazoa; Chordata; Mammalia; Artiodactyla; Bovidae
Description: long non-coding RNA NONBTAT023131
Source: RNAcentral
AUGGCGGCGGCCUUGGCUCGGCUCGGACUCUGCUCGGUCAAGCAGGUUCGGGUUCAGUUCUGUUCCUUCAAGAAGAACUUGGAAUCGACGAAGACCUUCCACCAGGCAGUGAGCAGCGAGAAAGUUCGCUGUACGAACCUCAACUGCUCAGUGAUUGUAGAAAUGAGGCACAAGGGCUCCGAGCCUUGCGUGGACGUGCUGUUCGGAGACGGGCAUUGUUGAUUAUGCGCAGCGCGCACCUCACCGCCCACACCGCCCAGGAAAUGCUCACGGCCUUCGCCUCCCACAUCCAGGCCAAGGGCACGGCAGGAAGCAGGGACAAGCCAAGCGCCAGUACCAGGCGCUGA